GCAGUCGUGGCUGAGCGGUAAUGGCGAUGGACUAGAAAUCCAUUGGUGUCUCCCCGCACAGGUUCGAAUCCUGUAGACUGCG
This 82-nucleotide transfer RNA is filed under the name Ixodes scapularis (black-legged tick). It matches the Rfam family "tRNA". Rfam says of the family: Transfer RNA (tRNA) molecules are approximately 80 nucleotides in length. Lineage: Eukaryota; Metazoa; Arthropoda; Arachnida; Ixodida; Ixodidae. The record is from Rfam by way of RNAcentral.